Molecule: long non-coding RNA, 7636 nt
Filed under: Nicotiana tabacum (common tobacco)
Lineage: Eukaryota; Viridiplantae; Streptophyta; Magnoliopsida; Solanales; Solanaceae
Description: long non-coding RNA (NTAB_LNC000630)
Source: RNAcentral
GGGAUUUGUUGGUUAUAGGCACAUGUGGUGCGGUUUUAUUGGGGUCUUUCAGUGGAAUUCGAGCGGGAGGAGUAUUGGGUAUUGCUCGGCGGUUGGCGUAUCCGUUGUGUCCUUUCAGGUUUGUGUAAUGUUAUGUCAAUUGCUUCACAAUGGUUAUGAUGAUUGCUUUGGUUCUAGACAUCUAAUUGCACAUGGUUGUCGAUUUGAGCAUAGUGACUUUAGGUGUUUCAUGUUGGACCAGUGUUUGGAUGAGGUCGCGCGUUGGAGCGAAGCUAUGUGGAGGUAUGAUCUUUCGGGUUAGAUUCGUGUGUUCUAGUUCCACGAUGUGUGACGGGUUCUCAUUAUUGUGUGUGGUGGUACUGGUGAGCUUGCGGGAAAGCUCUUUUAUUUGAGUCAUUUUCAUGAUUCGAGUAUGUUCAGAUUGUUUCUUAUUGGUGCGCGGAUUGCACGAGUUAUGACUUUAGUUUGUAUUGAUGGUCAUGUCACCAGAGUAGUUGUGUUGGAUUAGAUGAGACCGUUGGGAUCUAUAAUGAAUACAAAUGGAUUUGAUUUCAGCAUGUGGGAAGGAUAAUAUCGAGGUUCGGCUCAGAAAUUUGCUAUGGUCCUUGCCAGGGGAGAAGUGGCUUCAUGAAUAGUUGAUCUGAGGAAUGGUUAUGACUUACUACUUGUUUCGUUUAUCAUUGACAGUAUACGGAAGUGUUUUAAUGAGGCUUUAUUUGAUAAGAAGUAUUAUCGGUAUUUGGCUAUUUUGGGCAACUGCUGUGACUAGAAGCUAUCGCUACGAGUGUUAGAGUUAUGUGGUAUAUCAUGUAAUGGCAUUUGAGUCUGUGGGUAUGGUUUGUUACAGCUUGUUCAGGCUUAUUCAGAGUAUAGAUGUGAGAUUCUGAUCUUGUGGAUGAAUUCAGAAGUGGAACUAUGGUUCUAAGGUUUAUGGGCUAGGUUGAGUUGUGAAAUUUCAGUUGCAUUGUGUUAUCGGACCUAUAUGAGAUAGGGUGAUAUGAUAUCACCCCCAGGUAUGAGCAUGGUAAGAUUACACAACUAUUGAUGGUUUUCGGAACAACUCUACGCACGUUCAAGGACGAACGUAUGUUUAAGUAGGGGAGGAUGUAACGACCCGACCGAUCAUUUUGAGCUUUUGCACUUCGCUCGCCAGCUCUCGGUCAUGACUAGCCCCGUGUGAUGUGUUAUGACUUAUGUAAUCGGAAUGAAUUUGGAAGAACAGUUCUCAAUUUGAAGCUUAAAAUUUGAAAGGGUUGACCAAGUUUUGACUUAUUAGUAUAUGAUCUCGGAUUGGAAUUUUUUUUAUUUGGUUAGCGCUAUUAGGUAAUUUGGGACUUAGGAGAAUAAUCGGAAUGUACUUUGGAGGUCCGUGGAAGGUUUAGACUUGAAUUGGUGAAAUUGGGAUUUUGGCGUUUUCCGGUUGAUAGGUGAGAUUUUGAUAUAGGGGUCGGAAUGGAAUCCCAGAAGUUGGAGUAGGUCCUUUGUGUUAUUUGUGACGUGUGUGCAAAAUUUCAGGUCAUUCGGAUGAGGUUUGAUAGACUUUUUUAUCGAAUUUGGAAUUCGGAAGUUUUGGAAUUCUUAGGCUUGAAUCCGAGGGUGGUUUGAUGUUUUGAUGUUGUUUUGAGCGUUUCGAAGGUUAGAACAAGUUUGAAUGAUGUCAUGGGAUGUGUUGACAUGUUUGGUUGAGGUUCCGAGGGCCUCGAGUGAGUUUCGGGGUGGUUUCGGGUCAUUUCUAAGCUCUUUUUAGUUGCUGGUUUUUGGCUACAGGGGUAUACAGUGCGUUAGCAUAGAUCUGACCUCGUUAGCGUAGAGAAAAUUUGGAAAAAUAGAGUUGUGCUAUGCUAUCGCGUAAGUCAUCCCACGAUCGCAUAGAGUAAAAUCUCUAUUGCACUGGCCCGACUUUGGAAGCUUAUAUCUCACAAUCUAUAAGGAAUUUGAAGAUGAUUCAAAAACAAAAGUUGUAGCCCUUAAUGUCUAGUUUUCAGAAUCAAUUGUAAUUUGGAGUUUUAUAAAAUAAAAGUUAUAACCAUUAUACUAGAGGCUAUCCGAAAGAGUUGGAGAAAGCUGUUGAAAAAAUUUAUUCUACGCGAUCGCAGGGGAAUGGCCGCGAUCGUAUAGGGUAUAAUAAGGACUGGAAAAUUUUGUACUUCGCUAUCACAUUAGUUUGUCCGCGAUAGCAUAGGAUAAAUACCUGGGCAGAUUAUAAAGUACUCUAUUUCGAAGAUUUCAGCCAUUUUUGCAUUUUUGGAGCUAUGGAGCUCGAAUUUAGGCUAUUUUGAAGGGAUGUUUAGAGGAUUGAUUGGGGUAAGUGUUUUUCACUAAAAUUUGGUUAAAUCUCAUGAUUAUGUCUUGAUUCUUAUCAUUUAAUUUGGGAAUUUAGGGUGAAAAUUGGGAAAAAUGGAGGAAGGUUUGGAUAGUUAAUUUUAGGAAUUUGGAUGGCCAUUCGAUGUCGAAUUUUGGUGAAUUUGAUAUGGGUAGAUUUAUGAGCAAAUAGGUUUUCCAGUUUUAUGAUUUUUAUCGGAUUCCGAGACGUGGGCCCUAGGCCGAUUUGAGCCAAUUUCGGGAUUUUUGAGUUAAUUUGAUUAUUUUCGCUUGGGCUUUGUUCCUUUAGCGUAUAUUGAUGAUAAUAUACUGAUUUUGGUAAGAUUUGGAGCAUUUGGAGGCCGAUUUGAGAGGCAAAGGCAUCGCGGGAUAGAGUUUAGACCGAUUUGAGGUAAGUAAUGAUUGUAAAUAUUUGUCCUUAGUGUAUGAAACUUCAGAUUUCACAUCGUUGUGCUAUUUUGAGGUGACGCACAUGCUAGAUGAUGAACGUGGGGUCAUGCACCAUUGGGGAUUAUGACUUAGUCCGUCCCGUAUGACUGUUAAACCGCAUAUUUGAUUGAAAAUUGUUUGCUAUCAUUGUGUUUUGGAAAGUGUUAUCAUGUUUUGGGUUGAAUGCCACAUUUGGGUCGUAUGCCAACUAUUUAUGACCCUUAAGGGAUUUUUACUACUAUUCUUCAAUGCUUCAUAUUUGUACUCAGUCAUACUGUUUUCUACAAUUUUCAUAACUCAGUCAUAUUUAUUCCAUUUUUGAUAUUUUAAGCGAUAUUUUUGGGCUGAGCAUCAUGUUUUACUGCUGCCCGAGUGGCAUGAGAGAUUUCUGACUGAGUGAGGCCGAGGGCCUGUGUUGUGUGGAUAUUAUGGGAUCGGGCUGCGCGCCGCAGCAGUGUGGUACUGAUUUAUGAUUAUGAGGCCGAGGGCCUGAUUUGCUACACCAUGAGGUGGCUUGAUAUGAGGCUGAGAGUCCAUUUGAUUAUGCCACGAGAUGGCUUGUUAUUGUGCUUGGGCUGUAAGGGGCCCCUCCCGAAGUCUGUACACCCCUAGUGAGCCCGGGUACCAUGAGUGAGUGAUAUAUUGAUUAUUCCACACGAUGGCUUAUUAUUGCGCUUGGACCAUAAGGGGUGCCUCCCUGAGUCUGCACACUCCCAGUGAGCGCGGGUACCCAGUGUGAUUGAUAUGAUGUAGCCCGAGGGGCUGUUGUCAUUUUGUAUUGUUGCCCGAGGGUCUAUUCUUGAUCUAUAUUUUAUCCGAGGGGCGGUUCUUGAUUCAUGUUAUGCCCGAGGGACUGUUUACGAGUGAUUAUAAGGUAGCCCGAGGGGCCGGUUCUGCUGAGAUUAUGCUCGAGGGGCGGUUUAUCGUACAUGUUUUGCCCGAGGGGCUAUUUCAGUUUCAAUCAUUGAUACUCACUAUUUUAUCACUCGUUUCAAAACGUUGAAAGUUUUUUUAAAAAGAUUUUUACUGAAACUGAGCUUGAUUUACGAGGUAAAUGAUUUUAUGUACAGCUUUGAAAAUGAUCUACAUUUUUUGUAGUGUUAUAAUGUGGCUUACGUGUUUUCUUACUACGCAACUUUCAUUUACUUUUAUUACUUACUGAGUUGGCAUACUCACAUUACUCCCUAUAUCUUGUGUGCAGAUUCAGAUAGUUCUGAACCCGGUAGAGGGUGUUGAUUGCUCAGUGGCAGAGUCAUUGGAGUUAGCAAGGUAGCUUCCUGAUGUUCGCAGCACUACUUUUCUCCCUCUUGUCUUCCUUAGACUGUAUUUAGUACAUUCUUAGACUUUUGUUGAUUUUAGACCUUUGUAGAUUGUGACAACCCAAUAGUCGUCUCAUGAGUUACCGCUCUGUUUUUCCCCAGUUCUGCUUCUUAUUAGUUUGCCUAUCGGUUCUAUAUGUGAUCGGGUUGGUUAGCCCGGGUUCGGAGAAGAUUGUGUAAGGUUUGAGAUACUUAGUCUCUUUUGAGGAAGCUUAUGUUGGAAAAUUCAACCGAAUUUAGGCUUGAAUUGGCAAGAUUGAACUUUUGUUAUUUUCCGGUUGAUAGGUGAGAUUUUGAUAUAGGGGUUGGAAUGGAAUUCUGAGAGUUUCAGUAGUCCCGUUUUGUCAUUUGGGAUGUGUGUGCAAACUUUUAGGUUAUUCGGAAAAAAAUAGCCAACAAAGCAAAUAAAUACUCUUAGCUUCUGACAUACUAUCCACAACUGGACAUGCAGUAUAUUAGGCCAGUUAAUCCUAAACAUGAUAUCUAAGUGACAAAACAAGUACACCGAUUUAGGCAAGGUAGUUUUAACCACAUAAGACCGGCAAACAUCCUUAAGGUUUAAGGGAUGAAGUUUUAACAAUCCAAUGCCGCCUUUUAUUAACUUAGAAAUACUCGCUGAAAUGAUACCAAUGCAACAUGAAUUCAGCUAUACAAAGAAUGAAGAUCAUGGAACUUACAAAUAUCAUUCGAAAUCUUUUAGGCAGAAUUCCUAAACUAAAUCGUUGAACAUAGCAAAUAAGUUGGUGCUACUCUUAUUUAUGCAAUCUUUAGUCCUAAAUAAAGGAAAUGAUUUCCUAAUUACUAGGGUGCCAGAACAAAUCCUAAAGACAUUUCUGGUCAGGUCGUCUCAUAUUUAAAAACUCACACGUAAAAUCAAAAGAUUAAAAACACAAAUGAAUUUAAGAGACGUACCGUGUUAUUAUAUUGGCAUAAUUUCAAUAGUGUUGCAUGGCACUCGAUAUCUCAGCAUGGACAAGAGUGUACAUAAUACAAAACUAAAGAGAAGGACUAGUCUAUUCUAACAACAACCAACAUAUAAAGGAAUCGUAAUGCGUCAUUCAGGAAACUAACCAGUUUGUGGAGUACCGAAUUCAUAAGAAAACCAGAAAUCCACAUAAUGAUUCACGGACAGAUCUUCAACAACAGUAAAUAUGACAAACAAACUCCAGAAAUACGCAAUGAUUGCAAUAAGAAAACUCGAAUGAUAGCGACAAGAAAGCAAUACUCAAAUUUCGACGCUUCGAGAUCACUAAAACUUCUAAGAAUUUUGAGCAACACUCGUGUCGAGUGAAAUAAAAGAAAACAAAUUUUGCUUUGGCUUGCAAUAAGCAAAGAAGUAGCCGAAGAGUACUGAAUGAAGAGUAUAUCACAGUAAAAGAAAAGUUAUGGAAGUGAUGAAGAGCAAUGAUCAAAAGUCCUUCUCCCCUCCCUUUUUUGCCUUAACAGUAGUAGUAGUAUUUAUAGCUAAAAAUUAUUAAUGCUCUAAAUAAAAAGGAAAUAAAUUAAGGCUAACAGUUAGUACUUGACAGAAUCAAUUAGCAGAAAUCGGAGUCCACAACUUUGAGAAAAAAAAUGAUUCUUUCUAUAUAUAAAAAAUAUAUGAAUAUUUAUCAAAUUCAACUACAAUAUAAUUAGAGCAACAAGAAAUCACGUCAAGAAUGAAAAAAACUUACGGGAUUGAGUUUUUCUCAAAAUUAUUAUAUCAAAUCAAAGAAAGCAGAACCCGCAAUAAAUAAAAAAAAUUUACCUUUUUGGGGACUCCUAUGAACUUGGACAAAUUCUUCAAUUAAAUUCGUACCCAAAUCUUCCACCAAAAUUCGUUCUUUAUAGGAAGAGCUAUAAUUUCUGAUUUUGAGUGAUUUGUGAAGAAACUAUGCUAUGACAUUUGGUAAUAAAGUAGUAAAAUAAUUAAGGAAAUAACUAAAUAGAAAAAGGAAGGAAAGUAAGAGAAUAAAUAUGAUAAUGGGCUAAAGAAGGGAAAAAUGGAUGUUUGUUGCUGGCGAGGAAGGUAUAAGAUCGGAGAAUUGGUUUGGGGUUAGUCUCGUUGAGAUUUGGUUUAAAGUGGUUGGGCUUAGGAUAUUGCUGGGUGAAGUGGGCUCCAUUUGGACAGAGAGCACAUGUUGGGCUAGAUAAAUAGGGGAGUAUUUGGGCUACUAUUUUAACUAAAAAACAUAAUAAUUAUAGUAAUCAAUAAUAAUAAUAAUAAUAACAACAAUAAUAUUAAUAAUAAAUGAUAGCAAUAUAAACAUUGUAUUGUGAUAAAAUAAGUAAAAUUUUAGAAUCUUUAACAUUUACAAAAAAUAGAAGCUCAAAGGAAUAAAUUCAAUAAGAGGAGGGACAAAAUUGGGUUUCAACAGUUGCCCCUCUUUGCCCGAGAACGAUGAAAGAGUUUUUUGGGCAAAGAAAUUGAUGUAGUAGCCAAUUUUGUCCGACUGGUGAUAUAGUUGUGUAAGAAUAAAUGGGAAUAAGAGUCCUGAAAAAUAUUGUGGCCGAACUCCAGUUUCUGAGUUGCCUACAUAUCCUGGGCUUUACGAGAAUCAGGUCGUGUGUAGUUCUAGAUUAGGGAAGGACAUGAAUCCCUAAAAAAUUUUACCAGUAUUGAAUUAUGAUCAUAUUGGAUAUUGUGAUCGAAAAAAAUAGAAGGGUGUAUGAGGAAAAAUAGGAUUGGGAAGUAAUGUGAUUCUGAGUAAGGUAGAGAUUGUUGCGAAAAUUGAGGAGAGAAAAGUAGGUAGUGAAAACUAAUAUUAUAAAGAGAAUAAAGGUACACUUACUACUUCAAGGAGAUGUUAAUUCUAGAAAUUAUUCCGGUCUCAAGUGGCGAUGACGUUGGAAUUGAGUAGAAAUCAAAAAUAGAGAGAUAUUGGAUGCGAAAAUUGCCCCAGUUUGAUAAUAAGAACUUGUUGUGAUAUUUUGCAUCUUGUACUUGCAAACUUCAAGUAUUUCUACAAAAGAUAAUUAGUAUGUAAGCACAUGUAAGCAUUAAUAUGAUGAAUGUAAUCUACUAAAAAUGUUUAAAUAUGAUGCAAAUUCCCUUUAGAUCAUGAAAGUUGUCCUAGGACGAUGAGGAUGAUGUCCUUAGACCAUGACGUCCUGGGCUAUGAAGCGUAUGAUAAUGUAUUCGCAGGCCAUGAAAUGAUGUCCUCGGGCCAUGAGGAUGGUGCCUCUAGACUAUGAUGCCUUUGAAUAAUGAUGUGCAGUUUCGAGAGAUCCUCAGGCCAUGACAUGGUGUCUUUUGGCUAUGAUGAUGAUGUCUUUAGACAAUAACGCCUUUGGACAAGUUGGCGAUGUUUUAGCCCAUGAGAUGCAAUAAUAUGAUGUUAACAAGACAAGUCUUAGUCUUGUGAAAUGAAGGGCAGAGCUUAGCCCAAUCGAAAAUCAAAUAGAUAGUACCGGAAUAGAGCAAUAUAUGUGCAAGGAGGGACAAUGCUUAGUCCCAUGCGAAUAUGGAGGCAGAGAUUAGCUUCAUGCAGAUAUAGAGGCAAGUAUUAGCCUCAUGCGAGUAUGGAGGCAGAGAUUAGCCUCAUGCACGUACGGAGGCACGGAUUAGCCUCAUGCAAAUAUGGAGG